RNAcentral lists this signal recognition particle RNA (254 nucleotides) under Olea europaea subsp. europaea. It matches the Rfam family "Plant signal recognition particle RNA", at positions 17 to 272 of the family's 305-position model. The record is from RNAcentral. Lineage: Eukaryota; Viridiplantae; Streptophyta; Magnoliopsida; Lamiales; Oleaceae.
CAAGCUUGUAACCCAAGUGGGGGCAUUAUGGUGUUUGGACGUUAUUCAAGCCCAACGGACUGGAUUCAGGUUUGCUACUCGCUGGCCUGCCCGUUCCAAGCAAAGAAUUGUGCUUUGUAGUCCAAGCGAAAGCAUGGGCUGCUAGGCUCUUAGAGCGGAGGGGACUGCGUCAGGCUGGUUUAACAGAGCAGCGAGAACCUCCCAUUCUUUGCAGUGGAAGGAUGACGGGCUACUGCUUCCUAAUCCAUUGAAGU